UCCUGGCUCAGGAUGAACGCUAGCGGCGCGCUUAACGCAUGCAAGUCGAGCGAUGAGGCUCCCUUCGGGGAGUACAUCAGCGGCAGACGGGUGAGUAACACGUAGAUAACCUGCCCUCAAGACGGGGACAACCGGUGGAAACAGCGGCUAAUACCCGAUAUGCUCACAGGAUCGGGAGAUCGAGUGAGGAAAGCGCCCCUUCGGGGGAGAGUGUUUGAGGAGGGAUCUGCGGCCCAUCAGCUAGUUGGUGAGGUAACGGCUCACCAAGGCGAAGACGGGUAGGGGGUGUGAGAGCAUGGCCCCCCACAAUGGGACUGAGACACGGCCCAUACUCCUACGGGAGGCAGCAGCGGGGAAUAUUGCGCAAUGGACGGAAGUCAGACGCAGCGACGCCGCGUGGGUGAGGAAGGCCCUCGGGUUGUAAAGCCCUUUUCAGGGGAGCGAGAAAGGACGGUACCCUUGGAAUAAGCGUCGGCUAACUACGUGCCAGCAGCCGCGGUAAGACGUAGGACGCAAGCGUUAUCCGGAUUUACUGGGCGUAAAGCGCCUGUAGGCGGUCAAGUAAGUCGGAUGUGAAAGCCCCGUGCUCAACGCGGGGAAGCCAUUCGAUACUGCGUGACUAGAGAACGGCAGAGGGAAACGGAAUUUCUGGUGUAGCGGUAAAAUGCGCAGAGAUCAGAAAGAACACCGAUGGCGAAGGCAGUUUCCUAGGCCGCAUCUGACGCUGAGAGGCGAAAGCUAGGGGAGCAAACAGGAUUAGAGACCCUGGUAGUCCUAGCUGUAAACGAUGGAUGCUAGGUGUGGGCCGGAAAGGUCCGUGCCGUAGUUAACGCGAUAAGCAUCCCGCCUGGGGAGUACGG
Molecule: ribosomal RNA, 860 nt
Filed under: uncultured organism
Description: bacterial SSU rRNA
Rfam family: Bacterial small subunit ribosomal RNA
Source: RNAcentral